RNAcentral lists this long non-coding RNA (1389 nucleotides) under Macaca mulatta (Rhesus monkey). RNAcentral's name for it is "lncRNA (ENSMMUG00000053896.1)". The record is from RNAcentral. Lineage: Eukaryota; Metazoa; Chordata; Mammalia; Primates; Cercopithecidae.
GCUCUUCAUCUGCCCUCUUUACACGUUUUCCAGAAGGCGGGUGGGCAUCCUCAUGUCCCUCGUCCUCCUCCACCGCUGCCUAAGCUGUGCCCCCUGCCUGGGACUAGGAAUCCAAGGUCUCCUUCAAGCCCCACUGGCUCCUGUGGCUUUUCCCAGUGGCUUCAGCUCAGCUCCAUUCUCUGUACUCAUAUACACCUAGCCCUUAAGCCGGUGGCUGAGCACUUGCCUGUGUUUUCAUUCCUUUCUUUGCCAGGUACCCUGCAGAGCCACUCAGGUGGAGAAAAGACAACUAAAAGUCCCUGCUGGGUCAGAUUUUCUUCCUUGUUCUUCCCUCCGAGACUUUGCUGUCCCUGUGUGGUGAGUCUCACGAGAUGCAGCGGAGCUUGGUGCAGGAGCUCUGUCGGCCUCACACCCUCAGGGAAAUUGAGACAAAUGAGAGGACCAGUGAUUAAAGGGGAGAUAGAGAGAAGAAAGUGGCUAAGGAGACGGAAGAAUGAAGGAAGAACAGAUGUAAUUUAAAAUGAAAAGAGAAAGGAGAGAGAGACCAUUAAAUCUGGAGAUGUGGGGUAGAGACUUCUGCUUUGGGGCUGAAUAGAAGGUAUAUUUUUGGGGAAGUUCACACUCGUUUUCUUUACUUGCCCAGGACAACAUGGUGUGGCUUCAUUAUGUGAUUUGAAAGGGUGAAAUGCGGGGUUAUGAAUAACCAGAAUGAUCAACACACACAUAGCCAGGUGUGUUCUACAGACCUUCAAGGAAAUUGGCACUGAAGGUGGAGGCUGGAUGCACUUUUGCUUCUCUCUCCCGUGCUCAGGGCCAAUUGCUAAGGCAUGCAAACCCUUCCAGAUGCUCCUCAAGGAUUCUUCUGGGUUCUAGAGAGUCCCCUGCAAAGGACUGGGCAAGAAGGAGGCAAUACAAGGUAGCCAGGGCUCUCCCAUAAAUCGGCACCCCAUGCUUCAGUGCUCCGCCGUACCACUGACAAGAAUUCAGGCUGUGUAAUUGGGUGGAAAGAUAAGGACUUUCAAGGCCAACUCCCUCAUAGCAGGCCUAGUCGCUAAUCAGUGUGACUGUGCACAAGUUUCCUUGCUGAUAAAAUGGAAAUAGUCACUCUACCUCACAGGUUUCUGAUGAAUAUUAAAUGAGAUAAUAUAUAUCAUAUGUGGGUCAUGUUGUACACGUGUGAAACAUAGAGCUUAUUCAUUCAGUCUUCAUCCGCCCUUCCUGACCCUCCCACUACUCUGCCUACCCUCUAACCCCUGUUUCAUCCAACUCUUCUCAAUGAGAGAUGGUGACACCUGGAAAUGUAAGAGAAAGGAGAAAAGUAUGUAUUAACAGUAACCACACCUUUCUCCACAUUAAGCAUUAAAUCAUUUAUUACUCUUUUCAUUGAAC